Molecule: ribosomal RNA, 401 nt
Filed under: uncultured bacterium
Lineage: Bacteria
Description: partial 16S ribosomal RNA
Rfam family: Archaeal small subunit ribosomal RNA
Source: RNAcentral
ACACCGGCCGCCCAAGUGGUGGCCAUUUUUAUUGGGCCUAAAGCGUUCGUAGCCGGCCUGAUAAGUCUCUGGUGAAAUCCCGCAGCUUAACUGUGGGAAUUGCUGGAGAUACUAUCAGGCUUGAGGUCGGGAGAGGUUAGAGGUACUCCCAGGGUAGGGGUGAAAUCCUAUAAUCCUGGGAGGACCACCUGUGGCGAAGGCGUCUAACUGGAACGAACCUGACGGUGAGUAACGAAAGCCAGGGGCGCGAACCGGAUUAGAUUCCCGGGUAGUCCUGGCCGUAAACGAUGUGGACUUGGUGUUGGGAUGGCCUCGAGCUGCCCCAGUGCCGAAGGGAAGCUGUUAAGUCCACCGCCUGGGAAGUACGGUCGCAAGACUGAAACUUAAAUGAAUUGGCGGGG